Molecule: transfer RNA, 76 nt
Filed under: Thermovirga lienii
Lineage: Bacteria; Thermotogati; Synergistota; Synergistia; Synergistales; Thermovirgaceae
Also listed under: 4 other names
Description: tRNA-Met
Rfam family: tRNA
About the family: Transfer RNA (tRNA) molecules are approximately 80 nucleotides in length.
Source: RNAcentral
GGGCCCAUAGCUCAAUUGGCAGAGCCACCGGCUCAUAACCGGAAGGUUCCUGGUUCGAGUCCAGGUGGGCCCACCA